RNAcentral lists this long non-coding RNA (2660 nucleotides) under Salvia miltiorrhiza (redroot sage). RNAcentral's name for it is "long non-coding RNA (SMIL_LNC000745)". Lineage: Eukaryota; Viridiplantae; Streptophyta; Magnoliopsida; Lamiales; Lamiaceae. The record is from RNAcentral.
ACUCUUGUUUUUCUCUGCUAUGAUUGUAAUUGUUUGAAUGUCACUAAUCUGUUGGCUUAACCAUUCUGGCUGAGGUUGUGUGAGUUGGUUUUCUAGUUUGAGACUGAUUGUAUGGAAAUGAGUUAUAUUCAAGAAAGAAGAUCUCUUCUUAUUUUGUGAAACAUUAAUUUGUGAAAUCUCUCGUCUUUGUAUUGAGCUCCUCAAAGCUUUACCAAGGCCCUACCUGUGGUUGGGCUAUGUAUCUUUGCUCAACUGUUGUGAUUAAUUGGUUCUGCUGCUGAUUGUACAGAACUGCUAAUAUGUGAAAAUAAUUAUGAAUGUGACCGAACUGUCUACAUCCUUGUUGGCUUAUCUUCUAUUGCUGAAAUGGCAGUUAACUAAUUAUGUACUAAGGAAACUCUUUCAGUUUUUAUCUGGGAUUGGUGUACUCUUUUAAUCUCUGAAUGGGAUUCUGAUAUCGACGCAUCCCCAGGCUACUAAUACAUGCAUUAAACAUCAUCUGGUAAGGAUUAUAAGAAUAUAAUUCUAUUUUGACGAAUUUGGUUAUAAGCUUAUCGUUUAAUAAAUAAUUUUCUCUAAAAGUAACAUUUACUUUGCAGAAUUUUGCUCUUUCUCAGUCGUUAUGGACUUGAAGCUUGCAAGUGGAGAAGUGAGGGUAAGACUGCAGAAAACUAGCUUGUUAAAAGUUAAAGUUUGCGAUAGAUAUGAUAACAUCCAAGAAUUGGUUAUUGGAGAUCUAGGAAUUAAUAGCGUCAUUUUCCAUUUGAUGGAUUCAGUAAGUUUGGAUUUAUGGAGAUCUUAAUAUUAUUUGAAUUGGGUUGGAAUAAGCUUUUUGAGCAUUUAAAACCUGUCAAAAUAUAGAAAAGGUGCUCUGCUCUUAAAGUUUCUCUCUUUCUGAUGAACCAGAUUAGUAAAGAACUUUAGAGAUUUUAUGUCUAAGGUGUAAGUUUGGUUGACUAACUUUUGGUCUCUCAACAUGAAGAGUUCGCCUCUGUUAGAAAAAAAUAGCAAUCAUGAUUGGGUGUCAAGUUAAGUAUACUAAUUUUCCUUUCCUAUUUUAAUUGUUGAGUAAAUUUACUGGUUAUGCUGUUUAGCUCAUGUCCUUCAAAGUCUCUAAUGAUCUUGAAAUAAACAAAAGGAAAUAAAUACCAAAAUAAUGAAGAAAUCUGUUGACAAUGGGAUUUUAGGCCUAAACAUAGCAUAUUUGAGAAACUGUUUUCUGAGUUUGGCAUUGGGCAAUUUCUUAUGGUUUCUCUUGAAUCCCAAACUUUACUGUCUGAGUUUAUCUGUCAUUCACAGUUUUCUAUUAAUUUUAGCUCCUCCUGUGGUAGCAUUUCAGCCAGUGGGGGCGUGCGUAAGAAGGUGAUUAGAUACAUACACGACAUGCUGGGUGCCUACAGGUACAAUCUGCUGCUUUAUGCUUUAGUUUGAAGGUAGCAUAGCAAAUUUACAAUUAUGUUUUUAGAUGGGAUAUAGUAUGAAGUCAUAAGGAGGCAUCCGAAUCUAUUUGUGCACAUAUUUCAAUUUUAUGAUAUCAAUGAAAUUUAAAGUUCAUGAGGUGAGUGCUGGUUUUGACUUGAUAUAGGAUAUCUAAUGACCGGUGAGAGUGAUGUCUGCAAACCAACAAAAGUCAUUUGAGCAAACGGUGCACCAGGAAAUGAUUGUAGAUUCUAUGCCAACUAAUCAACCUCUUGUAGGUGUGAAAACAUUCUUUUACAGCACCUAACAUUUAAGGGAAGAUUUUAUACGACUUUGGGCAUGUAUAUGUAUAUCCAACUUAUGUGUUAUCCAUAUGUUCUCACUAGUAUUUAGCUGUCAUUUCUUGGCAUUUGAGUACUCAUAUCAUGUAUCGCACGCCAUUCAUUGUAUGGAAAUCAUGAAUGAGCUAUAUGCCAUGUAUAUACUGCAUGACAUAAAUGUUAAUAAAAUUGACAAAGUAAUCCAGAUAGUUUUGUUGUUUGUUAUUCAAUAUGAACUGAAUCAAUUAUUUAAUAGUGUCCUUGCAAGUGUUAAAACCUACCUGUGUCAUAUAUACUAAGUAAAUAUGUGUAAUCAUUGCCUUGCUCUUGCAUACAAAUGGACUCAACAAUCCCUCUGUAAAACAAUAGGACUGAAAGACUGAUACCACAUUAUUAAACAAUAAUAAUGAUACAUUAUUAAGACUGAUUUGGAAGAUGUUCUUUAUCUUUAGUGAUUAUUUGGCUAUUUGUUUUUUCUAUUAUGCUAAUAUAUAUGCAUUACUGAAAGAAGCACUUGUUGCAAGCUAUCUUGGGUUCUCUCUCAUGCAGAUUUAAAAUCAGCUCAGCAUGGGAGGCGGUUUCAUGUUUUCUGCCAUCUCAGCCACUUUCUCCGCGGCCUCGCCUUCGUCCCCCAAUCCAACUCUGGCUGUUUGCGUCCAACUUCAACCAUACUAUUGCUCUGAAAAGGACACCUUUUGUAGGCCGGUUCCUUCUCGGGUAGAAGUUGAAACUGCAAUUCUUGAACUCUAAAGGUUUAAAGAUGGCAGCUUUUUCCCAUUUCAUGUUAAAGAUAAAUCAACUUUUGAUUUUAAUCUGGUGUUUAUCUUUGUUUCUUUACUUCCUUAUCUUGGAAUUGUCGGAAUCAAGGUUGUUUUUCUCUUGAUUAGAUGGGAUUACGAUGAUUUAUGAAUGAUACGGCUG